Molecule: ribosomal RNA, 448 nt
Filed under: uncultured bacterium
Lineage: Bacteria
Description: partial 16S ribosomal RNA
Rfam family: Bacterial small subunit ribosomal RNA
Source: RNAcentral
AACGAACGCUGGCGGCAUGCCUAACACAUGCAAGUCGAACGAGAUCUUCGGGUCUAGUGGCGCACGGGUGCGUAACGCGUGGGAAUCUGCCCUUGGUUCGGAAUAACAGUUGGAAACGACUGCUAAUACCGGAUGAUGACGAAAGUCCAAAGAUUUAUCGCCAGAGGAUGAGCCCGCGUAGGAUUAGCUAGUUGGUGUGGUAAAGGCGCACCAAGGCGACGAUCCUUAGCUGGUCUGAGAGGAUGAUCAGCCACACUGGGACUGAGACACGGCCCAGACUCCUACGGGAGGCAGCAGUGGGGAAUAUUGGACAAUGGGCGAAAGCCUGAUCCAGCAAUGCCGCGUGAGUGAUGAAGGCCUUAAGGUUGUAAAGCUCUUUUACCCGGGAUGAUAAUGACAGUACCGGGAGAAUAAGCUCCGGCUAACUCCGUGCCAGCAGCCGCGGUAA